This 1468-nucleotide long non-coding RNA is filed under the name Capsicum annuum. Its description in RNAcentral is "long non-coding RNA (CANN_LNC008756)". Lineage: Eukaryota; Viridiplantae; Streptophyta; Magnoliopsida; Solanales; Solanaceae. The record is from RNAcentral.
UUGCUGUUUUUUGGCUUUUGUUAGGUACAUUUGAGAUAGAAUCCAAGGAUACCACAUCUCAAACCUUGGGUAAUGAUGUUUUGGGAGCCAUGAUGGCUUGGUUUAAGGCCUUUGACUGAGAUAUGAAGGGUUAUAUGGAUGCUAUGAGGACAGACAUAAAGGGUGAUAUGGAUGCUAUGAAGAGUGAAAUGGUCACUAUGAAGAGUGGUGUGAUUAAAAUGAAAGCGGGGGUUGAUAGACUAUGUGAUAGAUUAUGUCUACAAACCCUCAACUAGUUCAAACACCUCAACACCAAAGAUCCUACAAUCCACCAAAUCCAAGGCCACCAAUUCAAAUCCUCCUUCAACCAAAUCCAGUUUCUCCUAUCCUAACUUCCCAAAACUGAAUUCCCUCCAUCCAAGUUGAAGAAGAGAAAGAGCUAUAACCUAAGGAAAGUGAGGCUGAGCCUUAAGAUGGAGAGAAAAUAGAUGGUGAGGUACAAGAAAAAUAUGAGAAAAAAAUAAGAAAAGGGAAGGGGAGGUCUCGAAAUGCGUGCUUGGAAAGGGAAAGGCAAACUUGAUUGUGGGACUUGCCCACAAGUGUGCCUUGUUACUUCCUAACCCAAAUGCUAGCAUUUUACCUAGUUUUGAUUCUUCUUAUGUGCAGGUACAAGAUGAAAUGAUAACCAAGAAGGAUCCAAAGGUAGUUCCAAAUGAAAGCAUGAGAAAUGAACUAGAGACUCCCUUGAUCGAGAGCUCCAGAAAAGUAAACUGCCCAAGCCUUACCCGAGGUGAUUUUACUACACUCAACACUUCCUUGAACUCAAAAUGUUGUGAUUUCGUAUCUUGUGAAGUGGUUUGGGGUUUGCAAGUGUAUAAGUCUUUCCUUAGUAACUCUUUUGUUGUGAAUAGUGAUCAACUUUCUCUUAAAACUAGUUCACUACUUGAACAUGAGAAAGGUAUGCUUGAGAAUUUCCAAGUUGGUAUUGAUGAUUGUAAUGUUGAUCUUGAUAUAGAACAUGGUCCUUUGAACUUGUAUAAUGAAAUUCGUGAGGUUAAUACUGUUCAACGUGACCACGUGUAUGUCAAUAUUGUGUGUGGUGUUUUGGGAAGUCAGGAUAUUAUCCUCAAGUACAAGGUGUGGGUGGUUUCAGCCUAGACCCCUGCCAACUACUUCUCUUUGACCCCGAAAUACCUUUGAGGUGUGGGAUGUGUGUAUAGGUUCAUGCUUAUUACCUUUUGAUGUUGAUUCCCUUUAAUUUAUUUGUAUCAUUUACGCUAAGCUUUUCAUUCCAAAUACCAAGGACACAUGGAUAUAUGUUAAGUGUAAACCACCUUGGAGUAAUAAUAUAAUUGUGGUACUAAUGCUACCCCUUCUACCAAGAGGAUUAUGUGUUUGUUUUGCUCUCUCUUUGGUUUUGCAAUAUCUAAAUUUGAGGACAAAUUUCUUUCAAGAUGGAGAGGAUGAACCAAGCACAAGUAGCACCAAG